UACAGGGGGUGCAAACGUUGCUCGGAAUCAUUGGGCGUAAAGCGCACGUAGGCGGUCUGUUAUGUCGGAUGUGAAAGCCCUUGGCUCAACUGAGGAAGUGCAUCCGAAACUGGCAGGCUAGAGUACUAAAGAGGGUCGCGGAAUUCCGGUGUAGAGGUGAAAUUCGUAGAUAUCGGGAGGAACACCGGUGGCGAAGGCGGCGACCUGGGUAGAUACUGACGCUGAGGUGCGAAAGCGUGGGAGCAACAGG
This 250-nucleotide ribosomal RNA is filed under the name uncultured bacterium. RNAcentral describes it as "partial 16S ribosomal RNA". It matches the Rfam family "Bacterial small subunit ribosomal RNA", at positions 524 to 776 of the family's 1533-position model. The record is from RNAcentral.